RNAcentral lists this ribosomal RNA (951 nucleotides) under Paramysis baeri. RNAcentral describes it as "bacterial SSU rRNA". It matches the Rfam family "Eukaryotic small subunit ribosomal RNA", at positions 26 to 939 of the family's 1831-position model. Lineage: Eukaryota; Metazoa; Arthropoda; Malacostraca; Mysida; Mysidae. The record is from RNAcentral.
AUAUGCUUGUCCUACAGUUUAAGCCAUGCAUGUCUAAGUACAGCCUUAAUUAUCAAUGUGAAACCGCAAAUAGCUCAUUAAAUCAGUUUUGGUUCAGUAGAUAUUAAACGAUUACUUGGAUAACCGUGGUAAUUCCAGAGCUAAUACAUGCAACUAAGUUCCGACCUAUAGGACUAGAGGAGUGUGUGCAAGGUUGGCUGAAAAGCCUGCUGUUGCUGCUUCGUCUUAAGGGAAGAACGCUCUUAUUAGAUCAAACCCCAUGAUGGGGUUGUGAUGACUCCGGAUAAUAUUUGCCAUAGCCUCGGUUCCAGUGCCACGUCUAAUAAGUGUCUGAUUUAUCAGCUUCAUUGUAGGAUAUCUGCCUACCAUUGCUGUUACGAGUAACGGGGAAUCAGGGUUCGAUUCCGGAGAGGGAGCCUGAGAAACGGCUACCACAUUUAAGGAAGGCAGCAGGCACGAAACUUACCCACUCCUAGAGCUGGGAGGUAGUGACAAAAUAUACCGAUGCGUGUCUCAUUUGGGGCACGUAAUCGGAAAGAAUACACUCUAAACUCUUGUAAGAGGAUCAAUUGGAGGGCAAGUCUGGUGCCAGCAGCCGCGGUAAUUCCAGCUCCAAUAGCAUAUAUUAAUAUUGUUGUGGUUAAAAAGCUCUUAAUUGGAUUGUCUGAUAUAGACUGAUGGUGCGCCUCUGGCGAUUACUGUUGGUUAAUCAGAUAGUCAGCCUGCAUGCGAUGCUCUUUAUUGAGUGUCGUGCGUGGCUGGCAUGAUUACUUUGAAAAAAUUAGAGUGCUUAAAGCAGGUUAAUGCCUGAAUAUGAUCAUGGAAUAAUGAAAUAGGAUCUCGGUUCUAUCUCAUUGGUUUACUGAACUUGAGUUAAUGAUUAACAGAGACGAACGGGGGCAUUCGUAUUGCAGCGCGAGAGGUGAAAUUCGGUGACCGUUGCAAGACGCC